Molecule: non-coding RNA, 962 nt
Organism: Alosa alosa (allis shad)
Lineage: Eukaryota; Metazoa; Chordata; Actinopteri; Clupeiformes; Clupeidae
Source: the annotation of a RefSeq genome assembly
UAGGUCAUUCUUGAUGAUGAAGUCCAAAAUGAACAUGUUGCUUAAAGUGAUAUUGCUCUGGACACUUAUCUACAUCCAAGAAUGCAGGGGGCAGUACACAGUGAAUCAGACUCCAUCAGUAUUACCUGCUGUUCCUGGACAAACAGUCACCCUGAACUGUAAAGUCAGCAGUAAUGUUUAUAGCAACAACUGUCUGCACUGGUACCAUCAGACGCCUGGAGGAGCUCCUAAACUUUUGAUUAUAUAUGCAAGCAAACCACAUUCUGGAACUCCAUCUAGAUUUCAAGGGAGUGGAUCAAGCACAGACUUCACUCUGACCAUCAGUGGAGUCCAGGCUGAAGAUGCAGGAGAUUACUACUGUCAGAGUUACCACAGUAGUGGUAUGUGGUUGACUUUUGGUAGCGGCACGAAGCUUGAUGUUGGAAGUAACACCAGCCCCAAACUGACAGUCUUGCCCCCGUCAAGCGAAGAGCUCUCCAGCAAGAGUACUGCCACGCUGGUGUGCCUGGCCAACGGAGGCUUCCCGUCAGACUGGGCUCUCAGCUGGAAGGUGGAUGGGAACAGCAGACCUGGGGUGGCCAGUCGCUGGGGUCCAGAGAAGAACGGCCUGUACAGCUGGAGCAGCACCCUGACCAUGCCUUCUCAGGAGUGGACCAAGGCUGCCUCAGUGACCUGUGAGGCCAAACAGGGCUCCCAGUCUCCAGUCACCAAGGUUAUAAAGAGAGGCGAAUGCUCUGACUAGAGUAGCCUACUUCCAUUUUCUACAGUCUGGGUGACUGAUUAUAGUAUUUGUCUUAUUUUUGUAUCGUUCAUGUGCUCACUGUACUGUGUUUGCUGUCUUCAUUGACAUACAUCCACAGCCUUACUGUUAUCUACUUGUUCUGCUUGAUCAAUGAGAAAAUGUUCUUGUGCCGUUUCUGUUGCAAAAUUUGACAUGGAAAAAAUAAAAGCUUUCUACUGAA